Candoia aspera is the source of this 250-nucleotide long non-coding RNA. RefSeq lists it as uncharacterized. The record is from RefSeq and is a predicted model, not a curated record. NCBI's taxonomy places the organism in Eukaryota, Metazoa, Chordata, Lepidosauria, Squamata, Candoiidae. The transcript is spliced from 3 exons.
UCUCCAAAGAAUGAAGCAGGAGAGACCUUCCUCUGAUACCAAGGAAUAAGCUCAGGAUUGAGUGUGUGAACAUUCUGUGGGGCUAGAGAUGCCCAGGAAGAAUUCAUGAGAACAUUCCAAAGAGGCAAUCCCUGAAUAUUUAGCAAGCUGCAUUUUAAAAGCGUCCUCAUAAAGAUAGAAAAACAUGUUGUGUAACAAGAGCUCAGAAAAUUCACAGUAAUUCUAAGAAGGUAAGAGAAGCCCAGAUGGA